AUGAAGUCUACCACUCCUAAUCAUCGGAAAUGCUGUGGUUUGGUCCUAUUUCCUCUGGGAUUGCUUCUGAGGAUGCUGUCUUCAUGCCAGCUGCAGGCAGUUGAAUCGCAGGCCUUCACAGGACCACUGGACUUCUGGCAGCAAACAGGAAAUCGCUCCUUUCCCUCUGACUUCACUGAGCUGGAAGACUACGAGAGUGUUCUUUGUCCCACGAUUGGCGAAUGUUCUUUCGUUAGGGGUUCAGACACCAAUGCCAUUUCUUCAGAGCAUUGUCUACACCUGCAUAGGGUUUGUAAAGUGUCACUUGUCCAGCACAGUGUCAGAGGGCAAUGGGCCCUGGUGUGCCCAACACCCAGCAUCUUCAUCAGAUACUGCUUUGACAUCUUCACAGUGAGGUCUUAUCCACAGCCAUGAAUGUUUAGGCGGGGUUUGCUGCUCAGCUGCUGACCUUUCUCUGGUAAGAGUUUCCUAUAUCCUAUCAACACUAAAGACACUUUUUCUCCGCAUGUCAGUCUCUGGUCUCCAAAUAUUACUAACUGUAGAUAUUCACUUAAAAUUAUUUAUUUAAAAAAAUAUUUAUUUAUCUGAGAGAGAGAGAGAGAGAGAGAAUGAGCCAGAGGAGCAGAAGGAGAGGGAGGGAGAAUCUGAGUAUGAGGAGCCUGAUGCAGAAUUCAAUCCCAGAACCCUAAGAUCAUAACCUGAUUGAAAACCGAGAGAUGGAUGCUCAACUGACUAUGCCACUUAGGCACCCCAGACAUUCGCUUUUUAAUUCCCUUGUAGAUUAGAGUCCUUUUCUUCUCUUAGUAUAAAGGUGAUAUAUAUCCACUGUAGAGAAUUUAGAACACACAAAAAAGCUAAAACAAGAAAAAUUAUCAUUGUGGGUAUAAACAUUGCUAAGACCUUGGUGUGAGUAACUCUUUUCCCUCCAUAUUUAUAAUUUUUAUUUAGAAAUAAAAACAGAAUUACUUCUUAUAUAGGCAAUGCUUUCCUCCAAGUUAUUUCCUAUUUUAUAGAAUCAAUUGUUACAAAACUAGUCUCUGGCCCCUGCUAAUUGGACCAGUAUGGCCCUGGCUGGGCCAGUACCUACUCUUUCCUUAGUGUUAAGUCAGAUGAUAUUGGGGUCUGGAGCCAUAAUAUCACAUCAAGGUGGAAUUCAAAUUUUCACUUUGAAGCCUAAAACUUUAUUGGAGAAGGUGGUUUGCAUGAGUCAAGUAGAGAAUACCCAGCAAUCUAGAGACAUUCCUUGGAUGCUGGCACUAGUUCCUGUGAUGAAUUUUGUUCUCUAGCCAUUUGUUCAAUAAGUUCUCAAUAGAUUCUAGCCAUUUAUUGAGAUGUGAAACCCUUUUUUAGUUGUGGAGCUGUCUGUGGGAUAUUUCCCUCUAACAGUAUCUGAACAAGGUGACACUUUUUUUUACAACCUGUUUUUUCAUUUAAUAAUGAUUCAUAAGUUUUUUUCUGUGUCGUUAUACAUUCUUCAAGGUUAUGAUUUUGGUACCUGUACAGUGACAGCUGUGGAUGUUUGAAUAUUUAUGGGGAAAAUGGAACAAACUGCUUAAACUCUGGCAUUAGAUACUACAGAGUCCAAAUGCCUGCCUUGACACUUAGUUUGCUAUGUGACUUGGGCAAAUUAUUUAAAUAUUCUUUCUCAGAAUCCCCAUCUGUAAAAUGGAUAUAACUAUAUGGUCAAGUGAUGUAAUGAAUCAAACAUUCCCGAGACAUAGUCUGCCACAAAAGUAAGGGUUCGAUAGAUUUUGACUAUAAUUAUUAAUUAUCAUAAUCCUAAAUCUUCUAUAAUUACUCAUGAAACAGCCCCCAUACUUUUCCAGCAUCAUAAACAAAGCUGUGAUGAACAUCCUCAAAUAUUUACACAUGAUUUUCUUGAGGUAAGUGCCUAGAAGUUGCAUCAUUGGGUCACAGAUUGUGGACAUUUAAAGAGUACAAAACUGUCACUGUUUUCACUAAAUCUUCCCAGUUGUCCACAACCCAGCCUUUCCCAUAUUUUUCUUGUCUACAGUCUCAGAGAUAUGUCUCUUUCCACAUCCAGGAUUUGCUGUAUGCCCACCUUCCAACAAAAUUCAGAGUCACAUCUGAAAUUUUCUUGAAAAAUUUUUUACAUCUGACAUUUAAAUUAGGGCUCUUUCAGGUAGAUUUCACCCAUUCAUUUAGUUAUUCACUCACAUACUAAGUGGAAAUUUCUAUAGCCUAGGUUGAUAGGAUAGAUUUAUGUUGUCAGAGCUAACUUUUGUGUUGCUCACCAUGGAGAGGGCUUUGGCUUUGAGGAAGAGUUUGAGACCGUUCUAAGGAUGUCUGUCAGCUAUUGAUCCAGGCUGAACGAUAUCUAGAAAAUCCUUCCCCUCUAGAAAUAGGGAUAUCUGAAACAGAAACACCUUGGUCCUCUGACCCGCUAGGAAUGAUCUCUCGCCCACAGACCCUACCUUGGCUUCCAGGAUCAGGAAAUAUCAAUACGAAACUCAGUGAGAUGCUUCUUUGAACUAACUACCCACUGUACUGGCCACUGGAAGAAAACCCAACAUGCUCCUCAUCCUCAAGGAGCAUUGCCCAUUGGACAAGGGGAUGUGCAAACAAUUAUAGGUCAUAGUUAAAUUUGCCAGAAUGGAGGAGUGUAUCUGUAAGGAAAUCCCCGAGUGAUGGUCUUCACAGUUUGCCUUCUGGUCUCCAGAGGGUUUUGGUUGGUCCAAGGUUACGGCCCUUAGAAACAUUUUUAGUUGCCAAUAAUCAGCAACUGGAGAUUUCAGGUAAAAAUGAGGUUUCUGUCUCACCUUGAAAAAAAAUGGGAGCAUUGGCAAUACUGUGCCCUCAUCUUACCCUGGCAACACUGAGGAGUGGCUGACCUGUUGGCUAGAGCACAGGUUCUUUUUUUUUUUUAUUUUUUUUUAUUUUUUUAUUUUUUUUAGCGCAGUCCCCACCACUCCCUAAGGUAUUACCUUUUGCUGCACUGCUUAUCUUGCUGUCUGGAUGAGCCUUGAGCUUAUGACCUUAGGCCUAGUUAAGGGGGCAUUUACUCUUUCACAGGCUCUCAGAGAGGUCUGCUAGAGUGGAAGGCUGCAGGGUAGGCAAGAAUUUGCUAGGUAGAUGGGUGGAAGGAGGACCAUCCAUGGCAGGCAAAAUAGCAUGUGCAAAGAUACGGGGGCUUGUGCAUGGAGAUCUGCUUGGGUGAUGAGAAGCAGACAGGAUGGGGAAAAAGUUGGGCAUUUGAAGGAAAGGAUUGAGAGAAAGAAUUGGAGAGUAAUGCAAGCAUCAGUUCUUGAGCAGCCUGGCAUGCCCAAAUAAAGAAUUUGGUUAGUCAUUGUUGUUGUUGUUUUCCGUAAAAAACUGGAUCUGAUGAUUGAUAAAGGAAUAGCUACAAGAGUUUCUACGAUCAGUGCCCUGACAUCAUGGUGGCACCUUGCAAAGUACGUUGUGUGCAGAACCUCAUUAAAUCCUGACACCAAGCCCAGAAGAUGUGUGCUUUUAUUUCCCUCACCUUACAAUGAGAAAAUGCAAAUAGAAGGAGGUUGGUAAGGUGACUUCCCCAAGGUCAAAACCAGUAAGUGACAAAGUGGGAAGUGACCCGGGGCCCAACUACAGAGCUUGCAACUUGAUUGCUAGGGUGCUCUCCUUCCCAGAUGGCAUUCAUGCUUCAGAACUGUUACUCCAGUGGAGAAGGCAGGGUUGCUUUGGGAGUGGGUAAGGAGAGGCUGACAGACAAACAGGGCUGCUGGGAGUCUGCUGCAGUGAGCAGCAGGAGAGUGGGAGAGACACACAGAGCUGCGUCCAUGCAGGGCAGAGAAAGGGGUGCAUGUGAGAUAUACAGAGGGGACCCUUCUUAAUGGAAGGGGCCAGCCAUAGGAGUUUUCUCUUGCCCCUUUGAAUUCUCAGGGCACUUUGUGUCUCUUUUCCAGGGCUUGCUUUUGCCAUGUCCCCAUAACAGCUGUACACAUCUUAUGGCAUCUUGUACAGUUUAAGUUUGUAAGGGGCAGGAGGAAUUAUGCUUUAUUUGCCUUAAUUUUAUUUUUGCAUUGCUGAGCACAGUGCUUUCAUAAACGAAUGAAUUCCCAAAUUAUCUUUUUCAGAUCAUUCCUCCUUAUGUGUGCAUUUGAGAAGUCCAUGGCAGGUUAAACACUUUUUCUUUUCAAAUAUGAGAAUAAUUUCUUUACAUGAUCUACUUUAAGCUAUUUGAAAAUAUGAGGGAAAGGAAAACAGGGAAGCUGUUUAAAGGCAGCAAACCCUUUAAGAGUCAAUGUCACAUUUAUUGUUAUAAAAUAUUUUUCUCUCUCUGUUAGACAUCUGGUUCCCAUUACAUACAGUAUUGGGUACUUGAGUUCACCAGGCAUUUUGCAUACCAAGCAGUGUGCAUGUGAAAUCCCCCAGACAUCCACCAGUUUGUAUUUGCACCAUGCAAGUCCUACUUUACAUUUACAGACAACCCUUCUAUCACCAACCUAAUUCUUCCCAAUAUGCUUUUGAAGUUACUUUGUUCAUACCUAACUGGAGGACCAAAUUGCCUACAUCUAAGAAAUGAAGAACUUAAUCAUGGAGUCUUUGCUUUAUGUCACUGUAUGGUUCAACUAUCUAUAAGCUCGCACCGAAAUCAAUGAAACAUCUAAAUCUUAAGUCUAUAUUUCCCAGUAACAUUGACCCAGAAAUGAGAAACACAAUAUGGAAUGUUUGCUAAUGAGUCAUGAAUUUCAUUAUAAUUGCUUCCACAUUCAGGAUAGCGCCCUUAAACCAUCUAAUCUUGACAUAUCCUGCAACAAUCCCAUGUGUUGUAAAUGAUUUUGCUUUAUUCCUUAGGUUACUGUUCAGAGCUUAUUUUAUGCUUCAUUUCAUUUUCUUAAAGAAAGCCACACACGUGUGCGUGCACACUCACACUCUUGCAUGUGUGCAUGCGCACACACAGGCACAGCAUUGAGGCUUUUGCCUCAAUCUGUAAUUUUUGAAAUAAAAUAAUUAUGAAACCAAAAGGGGCCCUCAUCAUUUGGUUUGAAAAUAAAAAUAAAUGCAUUUAGGAAGAGAGCUGAAAUAUGGUCAACUCUGGAGUUUCUAAGUCAGGUCUCUGAGAAUUCAGGCCAGAAUUGAGCAAUGCCCGGCCAGCAGCCGUCUGUCCCCUCUCUGUCUGGACAUUAGAGUAUAUGGCUGGAUGGAUGGACACAACUAGCAUUCAGUAUAGUAAUAAUGGAAAAUUAAAUACGGCUUUUAAAAACAGC
This 5207-nucleotide long non-coding RNA is filed under the name Canis lupus familiaris (dog). Its description in RNAcentral is "lncRNA (ENSCAFG00000056712.1)". Lineage: Eukaryota; Metazoa; Chordata; Mammalia; Carnivora; Canidae. The record is from RNAcentral.